This 480-nucleotide long non-coding RNA is filed under the name Gallus gallus (chicken). The record is from RNAcentral. Lineage: Eukaryota; Metazoa; Chordata; Aves; Galliformes; Phasianidae.
AAGCCUAUUAACAGAGCGCUGAGUUUAAGACGAUGAAUUUUGCUGGGAUGUAGUACGAUGUAGCUCGUAUUUCACGAGCAGGCUGGCAUGCAUAUUGGUCCUCAACUGGCUCUUGUCCUGCAAAUUCAGUGAUGGAAGUACCCACACUUACCCCUACAGCAUGAAGGUUAGAGAAACACAAAGCAUUUUGAUAACCCUGAAAAACCUGCCUAAGACUUCUGAUCUUAGGGCACCUGUGUGUGCAUGCAACAUCUUCUUAAAAGUCUAUGACAUCCUUCAUUAACUCUCACUGAUGGAAAGGGAGCAUUUAGUCCAAGAUUUUUUACUACACCAGGAGAGGCAAGACAAGGCAAGGCAAGGAUGCCAGGAGGUCAAAAAUAAUUCAGAAUUUGCACCAUACUGUAUUUUUGUUUGGACAAGUGCUUUUUUUAAUAAAAGAAGCUCUGUCAUAAUCCCUGCAAUUAAUAAAAUUAUCUGAAG